RNAcentral lists this ribosomal RNA (2906 nucleotides) under Salmonella enterica subsp. enterica serovar Typhimurium. RNAcentral's name for it is "bacterial LSU rRNA". It matches the Rfam family "Bacterial large subunit ribosomal RNA". Lineage: Bacteria; Pseudomonadati; Pseudomonadota; Gammaproteobacteria; Enterobacterales; Enterobacteriaceae. The record is from RNAcentral.
UUAAGCGACUAAGCGUACACGGUGGAUGCCCUGGCAGUCAGAGGCGAUGAAGGGCGUACUAAUCUGCGAUAAGCGCCGGUAAGGUGAUAUGAACCGUUAUAACCGGCGAUACCCGAAUGGGGAAACCCAGUGUGAUUCGUCACACUAUCAUUAACUGAAUCCAUAGGUUAAUGAGGCGAACCGGGGGAACUGAAACAUCUAAGUACCCCGAGGAAAAGAAAUCAACCGAGAUUCCCCCAGUAGCGGCGAGCGAACGGGGAGGAGCCCAGAGCCUGAAUCAGCAUGUGUGUUAGUGGAAGCGUCUGGAAAGGCGCGCGAUACAGGGUGACAGCCCCGUACACAAAAGCGCAUGUGCUGUGAGCUCGAUGAGUAGGGCGGGACACGUGGUAUCCUGUCUGAAUAUGGGGGGACCAUCCUCCAAGGCUAAAUACUCCUGACUGACCGAUAGUGAACCAGUACCGUGAGGGAAAGGCGAAAAGAACCCCGGCGAGGGGAGUGAAAAAGAACCUGAAACCGUGUACGUACAAGCAGUGGGAGCACAGGUUUACCUGUGUGACUGCGUACCUUUUGUAUAAUGGGUCAGCGACUUAUAUUCUGUAGCAAGGUUAACCGAAUAGGGGAGCCGGAGGGAAACCGAGUCUUAAUUGGGCGUUAAGUUGCAGGGUAUAGACCCGAAACCCGGUGAUCUAGCCAUGGGCAGGUUGAAGGUUGGGUAACACUAACUGGAGGACCGAACCGACUAAUGUUGAAAAAUUAGCGGAUGACCUGUGGCUGGGGGUGAAAGGCCAAUCAAACCGGGAGAUAGCUGGUUCUCCCCGAAAGCUAUUUAGGUAGCGCCUCGUGAAUUCAUCUCCGGGGGUAGAGCACUGUUUCGGCUAGGGGGCCAUCCCGGCUUACCAACCCGAUGCAAACUGCGAAUACCGGAGAAUGUUAUCACGGGAGACACACGGCGGGUGCUAACGUCCGUCGUGAAGAGGGAAACAACCCAGACCGCCAGCUAAGGUCCCAAAGUCAUGGUUAAGUGGGAAACGAUGUGGGAAGGCCCAGACAGCCAGGAUGUUGGCUUAGAAGCAGCCAUCAUUUAAAGAAAGCGUAAUAGCUCACUGGUCGAGUCGGCCUGCGCGGAAGAUGUAACGGGGCUAAACCAUGCACCGAAGCUGCGGCAGCGACGCUUAUGCGUUGUUGGGUAGGGGAGCGUUCUGUAAGCCUGCGAAGGUGGCCUGUGAGGGUUGCUGGAGGUAUCAGAAGUGCGAAUGCUGACAUAAGUAACGAUAAAGCGGGUGAAAAGCCCGCUCGCCGGAAGACCAAGGGUUCCUGUCCAACGUUAAUCGGGGCAGGGUGAGUCGACCCCUAAGGCGAGGCCGAAAGGCGUAGUCGAUGGGAAACGGGUUAAUAUUCCCGUACUUGGUGUUACUGCGAAGGGGGGACGGAGAAGGCUAUGUUGGCCGGGCGACGGUUGUCCCGGUUUAAGCGUGUAGGUGUGUGUUCCAGGUAAAUCCGGUUCACUUUAACACUGAGGCGUGACGACGAGGCACUACGGUGCUGAAGCAACAAAUGCCCUGCUUCCAGGAAAAGCCUCUAAGCAUCAGGUAACAUCAAAUCGUACCCCAAACCGACACAGGUGGUCAGGUAGAGAAUACCAAGGCGCUUGAGAGAACUCGGGUGAAGGAACUAGGCAAAAUGGUGCCGUAACUUCGGGAGAAGGCACGCUGACACGUAGGUGAAGUGAUUUACUCAUGGAGCUGAAGUCAGUCGAAGAUACCAGCUGGCUGCAACUGUUUAUUAAAAACACAGCACUGUGCAAACACGAAAGUGGACGUAUACGGUGUGACGCCUGCCCGGUGCCGGAAGGUUAAUUGAUGGGGUCAGCGCAAGCGAAGCUCCUGAUCGAAGCCCCGGUAAACGGCGGCCGUAACUAUAACGGUCCUAAGGUAGCGAAAUUCCUUGUCGGGUAAGUUCCGACCUGCACGAAUGGCGUAAUGAUGGCCAGGCUGUCUCCACCCGAGACUCAGUGAAAUUGAACUCGCUGUGAAGAUGCAGUGUACCCGCGGCAAGACGGAAAGACCCCGUGAACCUUUACUAUAGCUUGACACUGAACAUUGAGCCUUGAUGUGUAGGAUAGGUGGGAGGCUUUGAAGUGUGGACGCCAGUCUGCAUGGAGCCGACCUUGAAAUACCACCCUUUAAUGUUUGAUGUUCUAACGUGGACCCGUUACCCGGGUUGCGGACAGUGUCUGGUGGGUAGUUUGACUGGGGCGGUCUCCUCCUAAAGAGUAACGGAGGAGCACGAAGGUUGGCUAAUCCUGGUCGGACAUCAGGAGGUUAGUGCAAUGGCAUAAGCCAGCUUGACUGCGAGCGUGACGGCGCGAGCAGGUGCGAAAGCAGGUCAUAGUGAUCCGGUGGUUCUGAAUGGAAGGGCCAUCGCUCAACGGAUAAAAGGUACUCCGGGGAUAACAGGCUGAUACCGCCCAAGAGUUCAUAUCGACGGCGGUGUUUGGCACCUCGAUGUCGGCUCAUCACAUCCUGGGGCUGAAGUAGGUCCCAAGGGUAUGGCUGUUCGCCAUUUAAAGUGGUACGCGAGCUGGGUUUAGAACGUCGUGAGACAGUUCGGUCCCUAUCUGCCGUGGGCGCUGGAGAACUGAGGGGGGCUGCUCCUAGUACGAGAGGACCGGAGUGGACGCAUCACUGGUGUUCGGGUUGUCAUGCCAAUGGCACUGCCCGGUAGCUAAAUGCGGAAGAGAUAAGUGCUGAAAGCAUCUAAGCACGAAACUUGCCCCGAGAUGAGUUCUCCCUGAGACUUAGAGUCUCCUGAAGGAACGUUGAAGACGACGACGUUGAUAGGCCGGGUGUGUAAGCGCAGCGAUGCGUUGAGCUAACCGGUACUAAUGAACCGUGAGGCUUAACCUU